CGCACAUUGCGCCCGCCAGUAUUCUGGCGGGCAUGCCUGUCCGAGCGUCAUUUCAACCCUCAAGACCCCUCGAAGGGGGGGGCUUGGUGUUGGGGACCGGCCUCACCGCCGCCCCCGAAAUGCAGUGGCGACCUCGCCGCAGCCUCCCCUGCGUAGUAGCACAACCUCGCACCGGAGCGCGGAGACGGUCACGCCGUAAAACGCCCAACUUUCUCAGAGUUGACCUCGGAUCAGGUAGGAAUACCCGCUGAACUUAA
Molecule: unclassified non-coding RNA, 257 nt
Filed under: Hypocreales sp.
Lineage: Eukaryota; Fungi; Ascomycota; Sordariomycetes; Hypocreales
Description: partial contains 5.8S ribosomal RNA, internal transcribed spacer 2, and large subunit ribosomal RNA
Source: RNAcentral